CCCUAAACCUCAUCAUGGUUCAGCAGCAGGACAAGCUGGGGGCAAGGCUAUCACCUCACACAGAUUCAGAUCCCAGGUCAGAAGGAAGCACCCAGGACCAGAGGCCCCUCCAGCCCCACAGCUGCUCCUGCGCCCACAGAGGAUGUACAGCCCCACUCAUGUGGGUCCAUGCAAGAGCUCAGUGCGGAUCGCUGCAGGAAAACAUAUAAUGGAAAAACCAGCCAAGGUCAGGUUGCCGUGCCCCUGUGAUUUCUGUGUCCAUCCAAACUAAAAGAACUUGAUGGCUGAACAGCAGGCUUUGAACUCAUCUAACAGUCUGACCUUGGUGCUCUCUUAAACUGAGUGAACACUUCUGGACAACACGCUGAUGUGUAUGUUGGGCAUCUGUAUGUUUUCAUGCUCACUUGUGGUGUCUACAUAGGCCAUGAAACUAUGGGCCAGAGCUGCUCUGAGGAGCCAGAAGAAGAUUGCUCCCAGACACACUACAAAGCUUGAAGCUCACACUCAUCACAAUCUGAGCCUGGCUUUGUGGUUUAUUGGAGGAGAGGACCUGAAGAUAGCGAGGGUUUGCAUGGCUCUGGUGAGACUGAGAGCACAGCUGAGAUCCUUCCACAGGUAUCCUCAAUUUAGUUUCCCUCUGUCAGAGCAGGGUGAGUAUAAUUAAAGACAUGGGCUUCAGCUGUUGUGCUGAUAGCCUCACUCAGGGAGCAUAUCUAUCCUCCAUCCCAGUUGGCAAGCCUUUUGCUCAGCCUGGUGGGUGCUGGAAGGACCACUUUGUCUUCACCAAGGUUCUGCUGUCCCAGGAUGUGUGCAUGAGUCAUUGUCUGGAAAUCCAAGUGGCCAGAUGUCCGCCAGAUACCGCUGCACUCGAGUUGCUAACUCCCCCAAACAGGGGAAGGGGCCACUCCUCCCUGCAGAGCUGGCGGGCAGGUGCUUUCCUCACCAUUUCUCAGAUAGAUUUUGAUCCACUUUUCUUCACAAAGCUGAAGAUUUCACCUCAAAUCACAACAGCACAUAUCGUGCAGGCUUGGAAGGGUUUUAUUUCUAAACUUAGAGGCUAAAGCAGUACAUAAUUGUGGAAAGUUUUUAGAUUUCCCUGAAGGAGCUGUGUAAUGGGGUCAGAGCUUAUUGGGUCAUGCUGUAUGCGGAUGGUCCAAAGAUUAGGAAUUAAUUUAACUGGCACAUGAAUAAAUUGAGUUGAAACUGAAGUCA
This 1212-nucleotide long non-coding RNA is filed under the name Phasianus colchicus (ring-necked pheasant). Its description in RNAcentral is "lncRNA (ENSPCLG00000004931.1)". Lineage: Eukaryota; Metazoa; Chordata; Aves; Galliformes; Phasianidae. The record is from RNAcentral.